AUGGAGGUGGCUCUCGUGAGUGUGGCGACGGGGGUCCUCAAACCUGUUCUGGAGAAGCUGGCCACCCUUCUUGGCAAUGAGUACAAGCGAUUCAAGGGUGUGCGCAAAGAGAUCAAGUCUCUCAGUCAUGAGCUGGCCGCCAUGGAGGCUUUUCUCUUCAAGAUGUCCGAUGUGGAGGAUCCUGAUGUACAAGAUAAAGUGUGGAUCAAUGAGGUGCGGGAGCUCUCCUAUGACAUGGAGGAUGCCAUUGACGACUUCAUGCAGAGCGUCUGUGACAAAGACGAAAAGCCAGAUGGCUUCAUUGAGAAGAUCAAGAACUCACUACGGAAGUUGGGGAAGAUGAAGGCUUGCCGUCGAAUCGGCAGAGAGAUCCAGGAUCUGAAGAAACAGAUCAUUGAGGUGGGCGGGAGGAAUGAAAGGUACAAGAGUCGCGAGGCCUUCUCCAAGACUGUCAAUGCAACCGUUGACCCUAGAGCUCUUGCUAUAUUUGAGCAUGCAUCGAAACUUGUUGGAAUCGAUGAACCCAAGGCUGAGAUAAUCAAAUUAUUGAUGGACAACAAUGGGUUUGUGUCAACACAACAAAAAACAAAGAUAGUCUCCAUCACUGGACCUGGAGGAAUGGGCAAAACAACUCUUGCUAACCAAGUGUAUCAAGAGAUCAAAGGCCAGUUCAAGUGUUCGGCCUUCCUAUCUGUGUCGCGAAGCCCGGACAUGAUGAAUAUCCUGAGGACUAUUCUUAGUGAAGUUAGCGGUCAAGAUUAUUCUAACACGGAAGCAGGGAGUGUACAAAUACUCAUUAGCAAGAUCAAUGACUUCCUACUAGAUAAAAGGUACUUUGUUGUUGUUGAUGAUAUAUGGGACGUGGAUACAUGGGAUACUAUUAAGUGUGCAUUCCCGGAGGCCAGUUCUACCAGUAGAAUAAUCACCACUACGCGUAUGAACAAUGUUGCACAUUCAAGUUGUUCAUCAUUCAAUGGCCAUAUUUAUAAUAUAAGGCCCCUUGAUAUUGUCCGCUCAAGGCAAUUAUUUCAUGGAAGACUAUUCAAAUCCGAAGAAAAUUGCCCUCCAUACCUUCAAGAAGUUUCUAAUCAAAUCUUGAAAAAAUGUGAUGGGCUACCAUUGGCGAUCAUCGCUAUAUCUGGUUUGUUGGCCAACACAGAAAAAACAGAGGAUCUAUGGAAUCAAGUGAAAGAAUCAAUUGGCCGUGCACUUGAAAGAAAUCCGAGUGUUGAGGGAAUGAUGAAGAUAUUGUCACUUAGUUACUUUGAUCUGCCUCCUCAUCUCAAGACGUGUCUCUUAUAUGUGAGUAUUUUUCCAGAAGAUUCUUUUAUUGGGAGGAAUGAUCUUAUAAGGAGCUGGAUAGGUGAAGGAUUAAUUCAUAAAGAAGGUAUGUAUAAUGUACAUAAGAUAGGGGAGAGGUGUUUUAACGAGCUUCUCAAUAGGGGUCUGAUCCAACCCGGGGAAACCAAUAAACAUGGUAUGGUGAAGAGUUGUCGAGUUCAUGACACAAUUCUUGAUUUUAUCAUAUCCAAGUCUAUAGAAGAGAACUUUGUCACUUUACUUUGUGCUCCCAUUUUGACAACUGGGACACAAAGAAAAGUCGUCCGUCGACUCUCUCUACAAGGCGUCAAGCAAAGAAAUUCAUCAAUAACCAUAGCUGGUCAGGUGUUGUCUCAUGUCAGGUCACUUAAUGUGUAUGGAGAUUCUGUCGAAAUCCCUUCUUUGGAGGAGUUCAGACACGUUCGCGUUCUUCACUUGAAGCAUUGCUACCAAUUGAAAGAGUGUAAUCUUGAAAAUAUAGUGACGUUGUUCAAGCUGAGGUACUUGAACCUCGCAGAGACAGGAAUGAGUGAGCUCCCAGAACAAAUCGGGAAUUUAGGGUGCUUAGAGAUGAUGGACCUAAGAUUCUCCGGUGUAAAGGGAUUACCUGCAUCUAUUGUUAAUCUCAUAAAAUUGUCGCAUCUACUUGUUGACGGUGAUGUUAAAUUUCCUGAUGGGAUUGCGAAGAUGCAAGCAUUGGAGACGUUGAAAGUGGUGAGGGUUUCCUUGCAGACAUUUGACUUCCUAUGCGGUCUUGGCCAACUAAAGAAUUUGAGCAAUCUGGUCUUGGAGUUUUCCAAAGUUCAUUGUGACACUGAGGAUAUAGAUGAAGUUGGGGGGUGCAACGAAGCAAUUGUCUCUUCCCUGUGUCAGUUAGGCAUCCAGAACCUUCACUCCCUGACUAUUCGGCGUGGGAGCAGGCUCUUACAAGAACCCUUAUGCAUGCUUACCCUCAAGAAGCUUACUACCCGGGGUUCAGUCGUCUCACGGGUUCCAAAUUGGGUGGGAUCCCUCAGAAACAUUCAACAGUUAUGUCUUCAAGUGGACGGAGUCAAGCAGGAUGAUCUCUGCAUCCUUGGAGCCUUACCCACCCUGCUCAUUUUGCAUCUGAAGGAAGUAACAAAGCCAAAUGAAAUGCUCAGAAUCUGUGGUGAAGUUGGGUUCCUAUUCUUGAGGAUGUUUAUUUAUGAUGCAAAUUCUCACCCUGUAGAUCUGAUGUUUGAGGCAGGAUCCAUGCCCAAGCUAGAAAUGCUCGAGAUUAUUUGUUGGCCCGUACUUGAAGCUGACUCUAUGGACUUUGGAAUUGAGAACCUCCCCUGCCUCCGUACUAUCAAAUGUGAAGCAAAUAAUAGUGAUGCCAUUGUUGGAGCCAUAAAGACUGCCAUCGAAAGAGCAGCCAGCACACAUCCCAACCACCCUAGUCUACUCUUUGGGAGAGUUGCUUCUGCUUCUCGUCUGGACGGCUGA
This 2787-nucleotide ribosomal RNA is filed under the name Triticum aestivum (bread wheat). Its description in RNAcentral is "partial small subunit ribosomal RNA". The record is from RNAcentral. Lineage: Eukaryota; Viridiplantae; Streptophyta; Magnoliopsida; Poales; Poaceae.